RNAcentral lists this ribosomal RNA (466 nucleotides) under uncultured bacterium. RNAcentral describes it as "bacterial SSU rRNA". It matches the Rfam family "Bacterial small subunit ribosomal RNA", at positions 331 to 794 of the family's 1533-position model. The record is from RNAcentral.
CCAGACUCCUACGGGAGGCAGCAGUGAGGAAUAUUGGUCAAUGGGCGCGAGCCUGAACCAGCCAAGUCGCGUGAGGGAUGACGGCCCUACGGGUUGUAAACCUCUUUUGUCGGGGAGCAAAUUCCGUUACGUGUAACGGAGUCGAGAGUACCCGGAGAAAAAGCAUCGGCUAACUCCGUGCCAGCAGCCGCGGUAAUACGGAGGAUGCGAGCGUUAUCCGGAUUUAUUGGGUUUAAAGGGUGCGUAGGCGGGAUGCCAAGUCAGCGGUAAAAUGCGGGGGCUCAACCUGCGUCCGCCGUUGAAACUGGCGUUCUUGAGUGGGCGAGAAGUACGCGGAAUGCGUGGUGUAGCGGUGAAAUGCAUAGAUAUCACGCAGAACCCCGAUUGCGAAGGCAGCGUACCGGCGCCCAACUGACGCUGAAGCACGAAAGCGUGGGUAUCGAACAGGAUUAGAUACCCCCGUACU